Molecule: ribosomal RNA, 725 nt
Filed under: uncultured bacterium
Lineage: Bacteria
Description: bacterial SSU rRNA
Rfam family: Bacterial small subunit ribosomal RNA
Source: RNAcentral
AGUCGAACGGCAGCACAGGAGAGCUUGCUCUCUGGGUGGCGAGUGGCGGACGGGUGAGGAAUACGUCGGAAUCUGCCUAUUUGUGGGGGAUAACGUAGGGAAACUUACGCUAAUACCGCAUACGACCUACGGGUGAAAGCGGAGGACCUUCGGGCUUCGCGCAGAUAGAUGAGCCGACGUCGGAUUAGCUAGUUGGCGGGGUAAAGGCCCACCAAGGCGACGAUCCGUAGCUGGUCUGAGAGGAUGAUCAGCCACACUGGAACUGAGACACGGUCCAGACUCCUACGGGAGGCAGCAGUGGGGAAUAUUGGACAAUGGGCGCAAGCCUGAUCCAGCCAUGCCGCGUGUGUGAAGAAGGCCUUCGGGUUGUAAAGCACUUUUGUACGGGAAGAAAAGCACUCGGUUAAUACCCGGGUGUCAUGACGGUACCGUAAGAAUAAGCACCGGCUAACUUCGUGCCAGCAGCCGCGGUAAUACGAAGGGUGCAAGCGUUACUCGGAAUUACUGGGCGUAAAGCGUGCGUAGGUGGUUUGUUAAGUCUGAUGUGAAAGCCCUGGGCUCAACCUGGGAAUUGCAUUGGAUACUGGCAGUCUAGAGUGCGGUAGAGGGUAGCGGAAUUCCCGGUGUAGCAGUGAAAUGCGUAGAUAUCGGGAGGAACAUCCGUGGCGAAGGCGGCUACCUGGACCAGCACUGACACUGAGGCACGAAAGCGUGGGGAGCAAACA